RNAcentral lists this ribosomal RNA (297 nucleotides) under uncultured bacterium. RNAcentral describes it as "partial 16S ribosomal RNA". It matches the Rfam family "Bacterial small subunit ribosomal RNA", at positions 27 to 323 of the family's 1533-position model. The record is from RNAcentral.
GAUUAAACGCUAGCGGCAGGCCUAAUACAUGCAAGUCGAACGGCAGCACGGGUAGCAAUACCUGGUGGCGAGUGGCGCACGGGUGCGUAACACGUAUGCAAUCUACCUUUAACUGGGGAAUAACCUUUCGAAAGAAGGGCUAAUACCGCAUAACACUUCGAGAAGGCAUCUUCAUGAAGUUAAACCUCCGGGAGUUAAAGAUGAGCAUGCGCUCGAUUAGCUAGUUGGGAGGUAAUGGCUCACCAAGGCGACGAUCGAUAGGGGUCUGAGAGGAUGAUCCCCCACACUGGUACUGAG